AUUGAACGCUGGCGGCAUGCCUUACACAUGCAAGUCGAACGGCAGCACGGGUGCUUGCACCUGGUGGCGAGUGGCGAACGGGUGAGUAAUACAUCGGAACAUGUCCUGUAGUGGGGGAUAGCCCGGCGAAAGCCGGAUUAAUACCGCAUACGAUCUACGGAUGAAAGCGGGGGACCUUCGGGCCUCGCGCUAUAGGGUUGGCCGAUGGCUGAUUAGCUAGUUGGUGGGGUAAAGGCCUACCAAGGCGACGAUCAGUAGCUGGUCUGAGAGGACGACCAGCAAAGGGGGGAAGGAGAAGGGGCCGGACUCCAAAGGGGGGGAGGAGGGGGGAAUUUUGGAAAAAGGGGAAAAAGAUAGAAAAAGAAGGGCCGGGGGUGGAAAAAGGUCUUGGGGGUGAAAAAGAAUUUUGGAGGAAAAAAAAAUCUUGGCACCAAAAAGGGGGGGGGAAGGAGGAAACGGAAAAAAAAAAACCCGGAAAACACCGGA
This 486-nucleotide ribosomal RNA is filed under the name uncultured bacterium. Its description in RNAcentral is "partial 16S ribosomal RNA". The stretch from base 20 to 329 matches the Rfam family "Bacterial small subunit ribosomal RNA", at positions 47 to 358 of the family's 1533-position model. The record is from RNAcentral.